RNAcentral lists this ribosomal RNA (575 nucleotides) under uncultured bacterium. Its description in RNAcentral is "bacterial SSU rRNA". It matches the Rfam family "Bacterial small subunit ribosomal RNA", at positions 338 to 916 of the family's 1533-position model. The record is from RNAcentral.
CCUACGGGAGGCAGCAGUGAGGAAUAUUGGACAAUGGGCGCAAGCCUGAUCCAGCCAUGCCGCGUGCAGGAUGACGGUCCUAUGGAUUGUAAACUGCUUUUAUACAGGAAGAAACACCCCGACGUGUCGGGACUUGACGGUACUGUAAGAAUAAGGAUCGGCUAACUCCGUGCCAGCAGCCGCGGUAAUACGGAGGAUCCAAGCGUUAUCCGGAAUCAUUGGGUUUAAAGGGUCCGUAGGCGGUUAGAUAAGUCAGUGGUGAAAGCCCAUCGCUCAACGGUGGAACGGCCAUUGAUACUGUUUAACUUGAAUUAUUAGGAAGUAACUAGAAUAUGUAGUGUAGCGGUGAAAUGCUUAGAGAUUACAUGGAAUACCAAUUGCGAAGGCAGGUUACUACUAAUGGAUUGACGCUGAUGGACGAAAGCGUGGGUAGCGAACAGGAUUAGAUACCCUGGUAGUCCACGCCGUAAACGAUGGAUACUAGCUGUUGGAAGCAAUUUCAGUGGCUAAGCGAAAGUGAUAAGUAUCCACCUGGGGAGUACGUUCGCAAGAAUGAAACUCAAAGGAAUUGACGG